Molecule: ribosomal RNA, 446 nt
Filed under: uncultured bacterium
Lineage: Bacteria
Description: partial 16S ribosomal RNA
Rfam family: Bacterial small subunit ribosomal RNA
Source: RNAcentral
CCUACGGGAGGCAGCAGUCGAGAAUCAUUCACAAUGGGCGAAACCCUGAUGGUGCGACGUCGCGUGGGGGAAUGAAGGUCUUCGGAUUGUAAACCCCUGUUAUGUGGGAGCAAAUUAAUAAGAUAGUACCACAAGAGGAAGAGACGGCUAACUCUGUGCCAGCAGCCGCGGUAAUACAGAGGUCUCAAGCGUUGUUCGGAAUCCCUGGGCUUAAAGCGUGCGGAGGAUGUUUCGUAAGGCGUGUGUGAAAGGCGCGGGCUCAACCCGCGGAUGGCACAUGAUACUGCGAGACUAGAGUAAUGGAGGGGGAAGCGGAAUGCGCGGUGUAGCAGUGAAAUGCAUAGAUAUCGAGAGGAACACUCAUGGCGAAGGCAGGUUCCUGGACAUUAACUGACGCUGAGGCACGAAGGCCAGGGGAGCGAAAGGGAUUAGAUACCCCAGUAGUC